UACGGGGGGGGCAAGCGUUGUUCGGAAUUACUGGGCGUAAAGCGCACGUAGGCGGCUUUCUAAGUCGGGGGUGAAAUCCUGGAGCUCAACUGCAGAACUGCCUUCGAUACUGGAAAGCUCGAGUCCGGGAGAGGUGAGUGGAACUGCGAGUGUAGAGGUGAAAUUCGUAGAUAUUCGCAAGAACACCAGUGGCGAAGGCGGCUCACUGGCCCGGUACUGACGCUGAGGUGCGAAAGCGUGGGGAGCAAACAGG
This 253-nucleotide ribosomal RNA is filed under the name uncultured bacterium. RNAcentral describes it as "partial 16S ribosomal RNA". It matches the Rfam family "Bacterial small subunit ribosomal RNA", at positions 524 to 776 of the family's 1533-position model. The record is from RNAcentral.